GCGAUACUAAUAACUAAAAAUGAGAUAAUCAUCACCAUUUUUUAUUUAAACAUUAUAAAUUAUUGAACAUUAUAAAUUGCCAACUUGUAAGUCAUUGAUGCUUUAAGCUGCAAUUUUCAAACUGAAAAAAGAUGCUCACUAAAUUUUAAAACUUAUUCAAAUCAAAUAAAACUUAAUCACCUUCCACACUUUGCGAAAAAAAAAAGAGCUUAAAAUUACAUUCUUCUUUAGUUCACAUCCCUCUCACUUUUAUUUAUCCUUAUCUCAUUUAUGCAAUAUAUGUUUUUAUUUUUCUUGAUUUGUUAUAAUUUGAUUUUUUUACUUCUCUUUUUGCAUGUAUAAUUUAGGGUUUGUGGGUUGUAUAAACGCAAUCGGUAAGUAUAUAUUGACGGAAUCUUUUCAAAAUAACAAAGUUUUAAUUUUUUUACUUAAAUAAUAUACAGUAUCAAAUAAUUACUUAAAUAACAUAGUUUAAUGCAACGCUUCAGAAUUCAGUUUUUGGAGAAUCAAAUUCUCAACAUGAUUGAGUGUAAUUUCGCAGAAAACUAGUUCAGAAUUUAGUUAUUUUUGUUUUAAUUUUUUUAUUUAAAAUGAAGGAAAGGAAAUUUAUAAUUUUUAGAUUUUAAAAAAUUAAUUGAUUUGGAAAAUAAUUUCUUAAAAAAAGAUUUUAUAUACAAAGUAGUUCUACAAAAGAUGCACCAAAUGUGCAUAAGAGAACCAGAUCGAAACAUAUUACAAGAAAGAGAUACAAGCUUAGAGUUACAUAAACAACAAAAGAAAAUUAAGAAACUAGAGAGGGAUAGAGUGAAUAUGAAGAGGAAAGAGAAUGGUCAACCCAAUGCUCCCUCACCCUUGCCUAUUUCUCACAAUUUUGGUUCAUGUGUUAAGUCUUCUUUUUCUCCAACAAAUUUUGAUUCCCCACUUUUCAUGAUGAGUGUCUCCACUUUUAGUCACAAACUUUGCACAUGAGUUUCUUACAAUUUUAUUUUUUAUUUUAAAAUUAAUGACUUUGGUAUGUUUGAUAUGGUGAGAUCAAAUCAUCUUGAAGUUGAAAAUGUUUAUUAAUUAAUUGGACAUGUUUUAAAUUUAAAUUUAUAAAUUUUAUUCAAUUUAUAAGUAAUUAUAAUGUCAAAAAAUUGUAUAAAAAUGUACAGAUUCAUUCAUUUAUAUAUAUAUAAAACCACUCAUGGAGAUUGGGAAACAAUAAAAAAAUAGGGUUUUUUUAUCUGUAAAUGAGGUUAUCUCACGAUUGGUCAUUAAGAAAGAGUAUGAUAAGAAAAAAUAUGCAAAAGAUAGAUUAAGAAAAAGUUAUUGAAGAAACUACUCACUCUUAAGUGCAUAUCUCUAUUAUAAUUGAAUGUAUGGUAUUUGAUAAUCAUAUAUGGUAAAAUUCUUAUAUUUUACAUUCUUGUAUGUUUAGAUUUUACAUAAACCAACUUUAAAGUUUUACAGUCAUAUAAAGAUAAUUUUUUAAGAGUGGAUAGUAGUUCAUUUUUGAACAAUGACUCCGAAUUAUCACAAUAAGAAAUUGACAAUUUUUUUUUCAAAAAAAUCAAAUUGUCUGGUUAUAAUAAGGUUUUGAAAACUCAUUAGUUUCUUAUUCCUUUAGGUAAUUUUUGUAGCGUUAUAUACAUAAAUAUUGUAUUUGUUGCUCUUGUUUGAGGGUGUGACCUCUCUGGUGGGGAGAUAUAAUUGUAUUUGUUGGGUUUAUUUAUCUUUGUAUGGGAUUUAAGCUUGAUAAGUAGUACAAUGUUUGUUGGAUCCUUAGUUGGUAGGGUUCUAGGAAACUUGUUUUGGAGUUUUGUAUAAGGGUUGAGACACCCCUGAAGUGUCUCAUUUUAUUUUAUUUAUUCUUUGCUGAUAAAAAAAAUAUAUACAUAAAAAUUAGUUUAUAAGUUUUGAAGUUUCCAUAUCAAAUUCAGAGAAACAUAAUGCUAAAACCUAGAGUAUUUGCGUCUUGACACAAAUGUAUUCAAGAAAAUUUCAUUGUUCAUUCCAUAUUUUAUCAGCAAUACUCAAGAAAAUUUCAAGAAAACACAUAUUCCAUAUUUUAAGUAGGCUUAUAUUUACAAAUGAUAUAAACUUAUACUAUUUAUUAAAUUUUAUCUCUUUCUGAAAAUAAAUAUAAUUAUAAAAUAUAAAUGAUUAAGUACAAAAUUUGUUAUUAUGUAUAAAUGCAUAAAUAUAGAGAUAAGGAAUCAAUUAUAACUGUUAAAAUAUUCAAAAAUAAGUUUGAAAGUUAUAAUUUAGUAAGUUAUAACUAAAUCAGUUAUCAUGUAUUGUUCAAAUUGUAGAUAAUUAUCUCCACAGUUUAAAGAAGGUACAUCUCCAAAUAUCUCAAAGUUAAGAUACAAAUAAGAUGUUAGUAUUUAGGCUUAUUAUGAGAAAAAUGCAAUUAUUCUCUUUGAAAUUAGGUUUAUCAAUGUUGUUUUACAAAAAUAUGCAGUGAAAUUUAUCAUUAACAUGUACAAUUAUUUAAUUGUAAUUAUUACUUUACUGUGAACCUUAUAAUAUAUUUAAAUAAAUAAUAAAAUAUGAAUAUAAUUAUAUUUAAGUUAAUAUAUAAUCAAUGUCUAUUGUUAAAUAAAAUAAGAUAAUUAAAUAUUACUUUAUUAAAAAGAUAUAAAAAUUUAACCUCAUUUAUUAAAAUAAAAAAUUAUAAAUUUAUUUAAAAAAUUAAAAAAAAAUAAAUGUUAUUAAAAGAUUAUGAAUUUUUUUUAAGAAUAUAAAAUUUUGUAACAUUUAACAUGAUCUUUAUAAUGAGAUAAUUAUAUUUUUAAAUUAAAUUAUAAAAAAAGGCAUUUUUUUAAAGUAAAAUUGAAGAGAAACUGUUGUUAUUUUGAGCUUCUUAGAUGGAUCCAUUACAUAUGUAACCUUAGGAUUAAACAUCUCCUCAACAUUACUUAAAACUCAUGUUUAUGAAUAUCUAAAGUUGAAGUAGUUAUUUUCGUGAGAUAUCUAAUAUAAAUAAUAAUAAUAAUGAAAUUAAUAAUAUGAAUGCUAUUAAAUAUAUAAAUAAUAUUAAUAAUUUUUAUAUUGUUACUUAUAUUAAUAUUGAUAAUAACAUUAGUAAGUGUAAUAAUAAUCUUAAUAUAACAACAAAAUUUGAUUGGUGUAAUGGUUAAAAUUUCUUUAGUAAUUUAAGAGAUUUGGCUUUGAGUCUCACCUAUUGCAGUCUAUUUCUAACACAUUAAUAAUAAUUCUAAAAAUAGACAAAUAAUUUUUGUAAAUAAUAAAAAUAUUAGUUACAUAUAGUGAUAAAUAUUCAUAUCACUAAAGUUUUUUUUUUUUUUGCAGUGUUAGCAUCAGUUUUAAGUGAAAAAUAGAAAUAUGAAAAAACAAACUUUUCUUUUAUCGGUUUGUUCAAAAAUUGAUUUAAAAGACCAUUUUAAAUAUUUAUAACACAAACUAUUUAAAAGUAACUGUAAUCGAUUUAAAAUGUUACUUUUGAAUUUAUCAAUAAUACAUAUUAAAAAGAUUUCUUUUUAUAACUUAUUUUAAAAUUGAUUAUCAAACUUUUUUAAAAGCUCUCAAACAAACAAUGUUUAAUUACAGGAUAUUUUGAAGUUCUUUUUUAAAAGUGUGGAUCAAGUUAAAUAUCUCAACAUAAAGUAAGACAAUAUAUUUUUCUUCAUUUGAUCUACACUUAAAUGUUGAUACCAUUAUAACUACAUAUAUGGAAUAUAAAUAGGAUCUAGAUAUUUCCUAAUUGCAUGCCAUAGAUUACUUUCCUUUGAGGUGGAAAGACCGACAAAGCUGGUAUAACCCAUAAAAAAAUAUUUAACUACCAAUUAUUUAGAUUCUAAAUUUGAUAACAAAAAUCUUGAUUGUUAAUUAGAUACCAAUUUAGAAAUCAUUUAACAAUAAUAGAAACUAAUCUAGAAACCAAAUUUUUUUUAGUCUCUAAAAUAAUCUAUAAUUUAGUCACUAUAGCAACUAAUUAUUUUUUAUCUCUAACAUUGGUUUCUAUUUCAUGAUUUUCUUGUAGUGUAUGCUUGGUAGAUACCAGAGUAAUCCAAGAUUGUAUUAUUGGAAAACUAAGAAGAAAGUCUCCACUUAUAUUAUUGUUGAGGUUCAUGAGGUUGAGGUUUGCACCCACUUAUAUACAAUGAAAGACUCUAAUCUCUAGUCGAUGUGAGAUCUCCAACACACACCCCCCUCACGCCGAGACUGCCAACUCGUGCGUGGGACUAUUUAUUAUGGUUGGUCCGAUAGAGGCUCGAUAGCGGGUGACACGAUAGGCCCAACACAAACACUCGCUAGGAUAGGCUCAAAAAUGGCUCUGAUACCAUAUUAAAAAGUGGACUUUAAACCUAACUCAACCCCAUAAAACCGGUUCAUGAGGUUGAGGUUUAUACCCACUUAUAUACAAUGAAAGACUCUAAUCUCUAGUCGAUGUGGGAUCUCCAACAAUUGUCAAACCGCUAAGAAUUUAUUGUGAUAAUUUUUGCAGUUGUAUUUUUUUUGAAGAACGGUAAGUAUUCCAAAGGUGCUAAACAUAUGUGAUUGAAAUACUUGUCAUUAAGGAAGAAGUUUAGAACUAGAGUGUCAAUAAAACAUAUUAAUACUAAUCUUAUGAUUGAUGACCCUUUAAUAAAAGGGUUAUCGCCCAAAAUAUUUAUUGGCCAUGUUGAGAUAUGAACAUUAUAUCUACUAGUGUAUGUUGAAUAUUGUUAUUUGACACUGAGUUAAUUGAUAUACAUGAUCUAUGUUUUCCACUUUAUGUAUAUACAUAUAUGUGGAAAACAAAUUAUAUUAUUGUUGAUGAAGAUGAAAAAUGAAAAAAAAAUUAAUUGUUUUGGUUACAUAUUAUUUUAUGCUACGUGGAUCCUAUUUAACACAACUACCUUCUAGAUUGCUUCUAUUUAAUACUGGAAAACGACUGCAUUAUUUUCCCCCCCUUUGAGGUGGGAAUUCAAGUGGGUAACCGAGUAUUAAAAAAAAUAAAUUUAACAGACUUGAAUUAUGGUCAAUCAUCAUUUAAAAUGUAUUAAAAAAAUAAUUUAAGAGACUUCAAGUUUUAAGGUCAAUCUAAGAGCACACACUCAUGAGUGCCAUAGUUGCUUUCAUAUGUUGUAGAUCACUGUGCACACCAAACGCCAAAGAAGCUUCUUGGACGACUCGAGAAGUGAUUUUCGUUAUGAGCGAAUCUGCAAAGCUGAAAAGAAGUGUUUCUGCCAUGAUGUUAUUUUGGGAGGAAAGAAUGCAAUUGGAAGUUGAUAGUUAGUAUAGUUGUGUGGUGAAUGAUUUCACAUCAUUAUAAUUAUGGUAAAGAAUUAGAAGAAACGACCCCACCAUCCGUAUAAAUAUAUACUUAAAUAUAUACUUUAGAUACUAAUUUAGAAAAUAUUAUUAAUGAUAAAAAUUACUUUUGCACAAAUUUUUUGAAAAAUAUAUAUUUUUUUUAAAUUUCACGUGAGAAUCUCGAUUGAAUUUGAGACAAAGUGUGACAAAUUUCAGGUAAAACGGAUGAGUAUUAACUUAGGAAACAAAUCAAACAGUUUCACACACAAACGGACAUUCCUUUUAACCCUGACAUGAUGAAUAAAAAAUUUAUUGCAAAUCUUCUGGGAUGAAUUUGGGACUCAAAUCUCAGCCAAAACUCAAUAGACACAAUGACGAAUGUCUGACAAAAAUUUAAGACCAAAAUACUUAAGGAGUAAGGCGUAGUAAGUCCCAGACCGAGAUUGAAUAAAACUGGUUUUCCGAAAACAAAACGUCCUGACCUUUCUUCCCCGUAUCUUCUUUUUGUUAUUUGUUUAUGGACGUGCCUCCUUACCUGGGUGCAAACAAUAUAUGAAAGUACUUGUGUGAAUUUUUUCAACGCAAUACGGAUCAAGAAUAAAAUUGCAGAAAGUAGGGCGGAAUUUCACAAGUUUUGGUAGAUGAUAAGCUUGGUUUGCACAAAAUUUCUGAAAAAUUCUCGAGAAAUAGUUUUUUUAGAUAUACUAAUAAAUAAAUAGUAUCUAAUUUAAAUAAUAUAGUAACUAAUUAUUUUUUUAUUUCUAAAAUUGAUUUCUAUUUAAUGAUAUUUUUUGUAAUGCUUGUUUAUAUUAAGUCUUCAAUGCGUAGUCACCUAUUAGAAAUCACCUCACUCUUGUCCAUGCCUCACAAUUUAUUAGUAUCUAAUUAAUUAGUGAUAUAAAUUACUUUAGAUACUAAUAAAUAAUAUAUAAUUUAAUCAAUAUAUUAAAUAAUUAUUUUUUUCUUUAAAAUUAAUUUGUAUGUAAUACUUGUCAAUAUUAAGUAUUCAACACGUAGUCACCUAUUGGAAAUCACCUCACUCCUGUCCAUGCCUCACAAUUUUGGAUCAUAUGUCAAACUGUUCUUUUUCUUUAACUAACUUUGAUACUUAACUUGUUAUUAUUAGUCAUUUGUUCCUAGUUACAACCUUUGCACUCGAGUUCCUUAUAAUUUUGUUUUUCAUUUUCAUUUUAAAAGAAUGACUUUGGUAAGUUUGAUGUAAUAAGAUGAAAUUAUCUUGAAGUUGGAAAUAUUUAUUAAUUAAUUAGACAUAAUUUAAAUUUAAAUUUAUAAAUUUUAUUCAAUUUAUAAGUAAUUAAAAUGUAAAAAAAAAAUGCAUUGAAAAAAAUUGCAAAUUACAAAUAUUUGAAAUAUGAAAAAAGUAAUAAAAAAUAUUUAAAAGUAAACUUUUAUAUUCUAAAUUAGUUGUUUUGAAAAUAAAUUUAAAAAGCUACCUUUUUAAUUAAUUCACUAAAAAAUAAUGGAAUAGAAAACAUCUAAAAACGACAUAUAUUCUUCUUCUUUAUUUGAUCUACACUUGAUGUUUAUACUACUAUUACAAAAUAUUGACUUUAUCAACACUUUAUUUUGUAUAAAAAAACAUUGUUUUGAAAUAUCAGAAGUGAAAAAAUUGUACAGAAUUAUUAGUUGUAGUAAGAUAUUCCACACUUCCUAGAUGAGUCCCUUAUGAGGUGGAGAGAUCGACGUAAUGGUAUAACCUAUAUAAAGAAAUAAAUUUUUUCUUUUAAAAUGAAAAAAAAUUGUCAAAAAUAAUAAUCUAAUGGAGAAACAAAAGGUUAAAAUUAUUACCUUCAACUCUUUGUGUUACUAUGAGAAUUCUUCCUCAUUUUCUGAUUCAUCAAUGUAAACGUUUUUUAUGUGUGAUAUUUGGUGCCAAUCCGGUCCAACUUUUGGCUUCAAUCUUCUGCAUAAUUCAGGACAACCAUUGAUUUCUAUCUCUUCAAGAUUUGUAAGGUGAUACAUGUUAUCAGGGAGAGACAACAGAUUUGGACAAUCCCAAAUGUCAAGUUCUUUUAGACAAAUUAGAGUUGUUAGCCAAUCGGGAAGCUCUUCAAGAUUUGUAAGGUGAUACAUGUUAUCAGGGAGAGACAACAGAUUUGGACAAUCCCAAAUGUCAAGUUCUUUUAGACAAAUUAGAGUUGUUAGCCAAUCGGGAAGCUCUUCAAGAUUGAUGCAACCUGCAAUAAAUAAGGUUUCUAAAGAUUUCGCAGAUCUUUGAAACCACUCAGGAAGCGUAACCAGUUGGGGCAAGUUUACAAGAAUAAGGGACUUUAACCUUAAAUCAGGGAUUUGGUUUCCAAGACCCAUCAACAAUUCCAACUUGUCGCAUUGUGAGAUAUUCAAAAACUUUAGAUUUGUAAUGGCGUGAAACGACAUCGACUUUAAACUUUUACAGUCAUAUAAAGACAAUCUUGUAAGAUUGGGUAAUAGUAUUCCUUCGAACAAUGACUCCAAAUUAUGACAAUGACGAAAAUAUAAAUUUUCUAAAGAACUCAAACUUGCAAUCUCUUCUUCUGGAAGAUCAAGUUGCCUGGUGGUUAUAAUAAGGUUUCGAAGGCUUAUUAGAUUUUUUAUUCCUUUGGGUAAUUUUUGUAGCUUUAUACAUCCAAAAAGAUUCAAAGUUUGCAAAUUUUGAAGUUUGCAGACCGAAUCAUGGAGUUCCUCGAGUUUUUCACUAUUUUGAAGAUUCAGACAUCUUAAAUGUUUCAACUUUCCAAUGCAGUCAGGCAAACUCUCGUAUUCAGAUAAACAUAAUUGUAAAACCCUCAAGUAUUUGCAUCUUGACAAGAAUGUAUUCAAUAAAGCUUCAUUGUUCAUUCCAACAUGAAAACACAGACUUCUCAAACUUGUGAAGGGAAAAGCUUGAGCAAGCAAAUUAUUAUCCAUAAAAGCUAAAUGUUGGACAUUCUCAAAUAUUUUUGGAUUGGGGAGAUCUAUUCUUUCAAACUCACCUUUUGCAAUAUAAGUUGCAAGAUCAUGCACUAAAUCAUGUAACUGAAAUGAGGAAUCGCUACCCAAGUCAAUAUAUUCUGAAAGAAAAGAUCUUGACCAUAGUUCAUGCACAAGUUGAUUGGCAACAUCAGUCAUCGAUUCACUUUCCUUUAGCGGUGGCAGAAAACCAAGUGCUCCCCACAUGGUAGAAAUCUGAGAACAAGAAAUAUCAAUGUCCUGUGGGUAAAGGGAGAAAGAAGCAAAACAUGGUUUUAAAUAUGAUGGCAGUUGAUCGUAACUUAGUUUGAGAGCUGGAAAAAUGAAUUUUUCAUUUUGUUUUAAAUUCCAAAUCUCAUUGUCUCUUAUAGACUCCCACUCUUUCUUGUCAACCCUUGAGAAUAGUGAACUCCUCACCGUUUUCAGUGCCAAUGGUAACCCUCCACAUUUUUUUACAAUUUCUUUCCCAAUCUCCAACAAUUGUGGAUGCUUUUUCUCAUCUCCAUCUUCAAAAGCACAUUUCAAAAAUAAAGAAAGAGAAUCCUCUUCAGAGAGACACUCUAGAAGGUAAAAAUUUGAGAAUCUAGUGCGCAUCAUGUUAGCUAUUUCAUGGCUACGAGUAGUCACUAGGAUUUUGUUCCCUUCAACCUCUGAAUCUAUUAUUUCCUUCAACUCAUCCCAUCUUACACGAUCCUCAUUCCACACAUCAUCUAACACAAGCAGGAACUUCUGACCUUGAAGUGUAUUUCUCAAAUGAUUUUGAAGUUGCCCGGUCUCAAAGUUACUGUUGUUUUCACUAGUUGGGUUUGGAACAGAAUUGAUGAUUUUAUUGAGCACAUUCCUAAGUUCAAAAUCAUUAGAAACACACACCCACAUCUUCAAGGGAAAACAUGCAUCAAUGUUGGUGUCAUUGAAGACCAACUUAGCAAGUGUGGUUUUUCCCAAACCUCCCAUUCCCACAAUGGGAACAACAGAAAGAGUUUGGUGGUGAACAUCUUGCACCAAAAGUUUGACUAUUUCAUUUUGAUCAUGUUCCCUUCCUGUAACAUUGGAAGGGUUUACAUGAGAAUGAGUCAUUUCCCUCACGUGCACCACACGUGUAUCUUGGUCAAUGAUUUGAAGCCCAAACAUGUUUCUUGGGAAACACAACUACCUUCUACGUUGCUUCUAUUUAACAUUAAGUUAACAAAUUUGAAGUUUUAUGGUCAAUCCUUUAAAAUGUAUUAACAAAUUUGUAUUAUUACUAUUUUUAGACUAUUAUUUUUUUGGUAAGAAAUUUCGAAAGUUGUUUUAAAUGAUUGUUUAAAAGGUGAACACAUAAUUAUUUUAAAAGCGACGAUUUGGGUUUUUAAAAUUUAAAUAUUAAUUUAAUACUAAAAUUAAUAGUUUACAAAAUUAUUGUGAAUUAAAAAUUAAAUCGUCUUAAGAAUACUAAAAGACAUGCAUAUUUAUUAGAAAAUAUUAAAUUUAAAUUACUUAAACAAAUGAUUAAAAAAAUAUUAAAAAAUAUAAAUAACAUUAAACACAAAUAUUGUUGCGAUACUGAUGAUAAAAGAAAAAUAUAAUCAUCACCAUUUUUUAUUUAAACAUUAAAAAUUAUUCAACAUUAUCACUUAAAAAAAAUUAUGAAAUAGAAACUAAUUUUAGAUAAAAAAAAUAAUUAGUUGUAUAACUAAAUUAGAGACAAUUUUAUAAACUAAAAAAAUUAGUUUUUUUAAUUAAUUUCUAUUAUUGUUAAAUGAUUUUUAAAUUGGUAUUUAAUUAACUACCAAGGUUUUAACUACCAAUUAUUUAGUUUCUAUUGGUAGAAAAACCUGGUUGCUAAUUACAUACCAAUUUAGAAACCAUUUAACAAUAAUAGAAACUAAUUUAGAAACCAAACUUUUUUAUUUUUAAGGUGGUUUCUAAUUUAGUCAAUAUAAUAAUUAAUUAUUUUUUAUUUCUUGAUUUUUAUUUUAUGAUUGUAUUAUAGUAUAUAUAUUGUCAACUUGUAAGUCAUUGAUGCUUUAAGCUACAAUUUUGAAACGCUGUCUUUAGAAAUUAAAUAAGCCACAUUAAAAAAAGAUGUUGACUUAAAAUUUAAACUUAUUGAAAUUCAAUAAAACUUAAUCACCUUCCACACUUUGCAAAAAAAAGAGAGCUCAAAAUUGCAUUCCUCUUCCUCAACUUCUCUCUUCUCUUGUAAACCUCACAUUUUCCUUAAAAAUUACAUUCUUCUUUAACGUUCACAUCCACUUCCACUUUUAUUUCCAUAUCUCAUUUAUGCAAAUAUUGUUCUUUUUUUUUUUCUUGAUUUUGUUGAUUUGUUUCAAUUUGAUUUUUUUACUUCUCUUUUUGCAUGUAUAAUUUAGGGUUUGUGGGUAGUAUAGACGCAAUUGGUAACUAUAUCGACGGAAUCUUUUCAGAAUAACAAAGUUUUUUUUUUUACUCAAAUAAUAUACAGUAUCAAAUAAUUACUUAAAUAACAUACUCUUCAGAAUUCAGUUUCUGCAGAAUCAAUUUCUCAACAUGAUUGAGUGUAAUUUCUCAAAAAAAUAGUUCAAAAUUAGUUAUUUUUGUUUUAAUUUCUUUAUUUAAAAAAGAAGGAAAGGAAAUUUAUAAUUUUGAGCUUUUAAAAAAUUGAUUUGGAAAAUAAUUUCUUAGAAAAAUAUUAAUGUAAUUUUUUUUUUCAAUUCAGUGUUUUUCUAAAUUAUUUUGAUGUAUUAUGUAUUAAAAAAAAUUAUAUUUUUUAAUUCAAUCUUGAUCGUUUAAUUUUUUUUAACUUGAUAACGUGAAUUCUAUCAUCUUAUUUAAUUAUUUUCAUUUAUUAAAAAUUAUGAGGUUAUGUUAAUAAUAUUUUUUUAUCAGUAACAUAUUACUUUAUAUGAAGCAUUAUACGUAACAAAAAUUAUAUAUCCGAGGUAGUUCUACAAAACAUGCACCAAAUGUGGCUAAGAGAACCUGAUAGAAACAUAUUACAAAAAGAGCUAGAAGCUUAUAAGUGUUUCAAUAUAGUGUCACAUCAUUCAGGGAUCGAGACCAAUGACAGUUUAUAUACUUCCUUCACCCUUUGAGGCGUCUUUUAAGGACAAAACUGUGACUGAGCACCAACCUUCAAAACGGACAAUACUUCGGAUGCAGUGAUUGACCCUAACGAUGCUGUAUAACGAUUUGAGGUCGGGUCGGAACAAUAGGUAUCUCAUAUUCCCAGAUUUUACGUUAUAUCAAAUUGCAAACCAAAUUAUAAAGCAGCUAAAUAAUAAUUAUAUUUGAAUUCUGGCAUUGAUCUGAUAUGCUUACAAAAUUCAUCUUCUGCGAACCAGCGUAUGUUUUGUGGUCACCCUAUGAUCCUUAAUAUUCAAACAAUGUGGUCAUAGCAAGAGUGCUCUGCUCCCAAUAGACAAUAGGGCAAAAUUGCAAGGCCUGCUUCUGCAUUUGAGCCGUUGUUGCCCAUGUUACAACACCCACAAAUAAACUUAUGUGAAUAAUAUAAAAUAAUGCUGCAGUUAGUGUAAAUUAACAUGAGUCUUUUAUUGUUUUUGUUGAAAUUUUUUUGAACAACAAGGGAUUGUCUCCCUCACCUAAAUCAAUAUAUAAUGGUGAUAAUGAUAUUUCCUUGGUUGUUAAUAGAUAACAAAAUGAAAGUCAUCGAAUAACAUGACAAAUUUGUUAUCUAUAGACCAACAAAAUGGUAUAAUCUGUGCAAAGAAGAAAAACAUUUCUUUUAAAAUAAAAUAAAAAAUGUCAAAAAUAAUAAUUUAAUAGAAAAACAAAAGGUUAAAAUUAGUACCUUCAACUCUUUGUAUUAUUAUGAGGAUUCUUCUUCAUUUUCUGAUUCAUCAAUGUAAACUCGUUUGAUGUGUGAUAUCUUGUGCCAAUCCUGUCCAACUUCUGGCUUCAAUCUUUUGCGUAAUUCAGGACAACCAAUGAUUUCUAAAUCUUUAAGAUUUGUGAGGUGAUGCAUGUUAUCAGGGAGUGACAACAUAUUUGGACAAUUGCAAAUGCUAAGUAUUUUGAGACAAAUUGUAGAUGGUAGCCAGUUGGGAAGCUCCUCAAGAUUGAUGCAAUUGCCAACUAUUAGGGAUUCUAAAGAGUUCGCAGAUCCUUGUAACCAUUGAGGAAAAGUGACCAGUUGUGGCAAUUGAUUAAGACCAAGACACUUUAACCUUAAAUUGGGGAUUUGACUUUCAAUAUCCAUUGACAAUUCCAACUUGUCACAACAGUAGAUAAAUAAAACCUCUAAAUUUCUUAUGGCAUCGAAGGACACCGAUUUUAGACUUCCACAUUCGUUCAAAUACAAAUUUUUAAGUGUGGAAAGUUGUAUUCCUUCAAACAGUGACACAAAAUUAUGGCAAUCACUGAAAAACAAAUGUUCUUAGAGAAGUCAAAUUUGCAAUCACUUCUUUAGGAAAAUAAGGUAGUGUGGUGGUUAUAGCCAAGUGACGAAGGCUAACUAGAAUUUUUAUUCCUUUGGGUAAUGUUUGUAGCUUUAUGCAUCCUAUAAGGAUCAAAGUUUGCAAAUUUUGAAGUUUGCAUUUGCAUAUUGAAUCAGGGAGUUCCUUAAGUUUUUUAUUUUGUGCAAGACUGAGGUAUCUUAAAUGUUUCAACUUUCCGAUGCAACGAGGCAGACUCUCGUAUUCGGAAUAUUGCAAGUUUAAAAUCCUCAAGUAUUUGCACCUUGACACCAAUGUAUUCAAAAAAUCUUUAUUGUUCCCUGCUUUACGAAAUAUCAUAGUUCUGAGACCUGUGGGAAGAAGAGAUUCACCAUAAAAAUUAUUUUCCCCAAAUGUCAAAUGUUGGGUACCCUCAGAUAUUUUUGGAUUGUGGAAAUCUAUUGUUUCAAACUCACCUUUUGCGAUAUAAGUUGCAAGAUCAUGCACCAAAUCAUGUAACUUAAAAGAGUACUCACUCCCUAAGUCUUCAUAAUCUGAAAGAAACGAUCUUGUCCAUAGUUCAUGCAAAAAUUGUCUCGCAGCAUCAAUCGUUGAUUCACCUUCCUUUGGUGGGGGAAGAAAACCAAGUGCUUCCCACAACACAGAAACUUCAGAACUAAAGAUAUCAGUAUCCUCUUUGUAAAGGGAAAAAGAAGCAAAACAUGGUUUUAAAUACGAAGGAAGUUGAUCGUAACUCAGUUUCAGAGCAGGUAAAAUGCCUUUUUCAUUUUGUUUUAAAUUCCAAAUCUUAUUAUCUCUUAUGGACUCCCACUCUUUUUUAUCAACCCUCGAGAAUAGUGAACUCCCCACUGUUUUCAGUGCUAAUGGUAAGCCUCCACAUUUUUUUACAAUUUCUUCCCCAAUCUCCAAUAGUUUUGGAUGUUAUUUUUCAUCUCCAUCUUCAAAAGCAGACUUCACAAAUAGAGAACGAGAAUCCUCUUUAGAGAGGCAUUGUAGAAGGUACGAAUUUGAGGAUUUAGUGUGCAUCAUGGUAGCUAUUUCAUGGCUACGUGUAGACAGUAGGAUUUUACUCCCUUCAACACCUACAUCUAUUAUUUCCUUCAACUCACCCCAUCUUGCACGAUCCUCGUUCCACACGUCAUCCAACACAAGCAAGAACUUCUCACCUUGAAGUGUAUUUCUCAAACGAUUUUGAAGUUGCUCAGUCUCAGAGUUAUUGAAGUUUUCCCUCGUUGGGUUUGGAGCAGAAUUGAGAAUUUUAAUGAGGACAUUCCUAAGUUCAAAAUCAUUAGAGACGCACACCCACAUCUUCAACGAAAAACAUGCAUCAAUGUUGGUGUUAUUGAAGACCAACUUAGCAAGUGUGGUUUUUCCCAAGCCCCCAUUCCCACAAUGGGAAUAACAGAAAGAGUUUGGUGAUGAACAUCUUGCACCAAAAGUUUGACUAUUUCAUUUUGAUCAUGUUCCCUUCCUGUAACAUUGGAAGGGUUUACAUGAGAAUGAGUCAUUUCCCUCACGUGCACCACACGUGUAUCUUGGUCAAUGAUUUGAAGACCAAACAUGCUUCUUUGGGCUGCAAGUUUGGCCAACCUGGUGUUGAUAUGUUGAAUGCGAUGCGCCAUUCUAAAACGAUAAACAAGAGGAUUACUUGUUGAGAAGAAAUUGCGUACCUUCCUUGAGCAAUCACCAUAGGUUUUGACAAUGUGCUUGGCUUCACACUCAAAAUCAUCAACUAUGUCUUCAGCAUCAAAAAAGACGCGCUUGACCUGUCUUAGCCAUUCGCUCAGUGCACUGCUCAGCGGAUUCUUUUGCUGAGCAUCUAAGAGAACACCUCUGAUGAGUGCCAUAGUUGCUUUCAUCUCUUGUAGCUCGCUAUGCACACCAAAAGCCAAAGAAGCUUCUUCAACGGCAUGAGAAAGAAGCUUUCCAAUGAGCGAAUCUGCGAAACUGAAAAGAAGUGAUUCGGCCAUGAUGUGGUUUCGGGAAAGAAAAAUGCAAGGCUACAAUAGUUGUUUGGUGAAUGAUUUGACAUGAUUAUGCUAUUUAUAAAACAAUGCUUAGUUUGGUAUAUGAUAUUCCCACACACUCAAAAUUCGUAUGGCCAGCCUAAUACAACUAAUGUGACAUAAAAGAAAUUGUAUUAGCUGGAGUUGGAUUAGUGUGUGAAUCUAUGCUUUUUAUAAUAAGUUCAUUUCAGUGUAAGCAUGUUGCUGUCUAUAUUCAUUCUCACUAAUUCAAAUGUAUUAAACAACACCCAUUACACUACCACUUUCUUCAUUUCUUUAACUUAUUUGACUUCAGGAAAAUAUUAGUUGUUUAUAAGUUUUAUGCUACGUCCAUCCUAUGAACUUGUGAUAAAAAAAAUCAGUAAAUGAAAUAAAAAAUGAUAAAAUAAAUUGAAGUGUUUUGAUUACAUAUUAUUUUAUGGUAAGUGGAUCCUAUUUCUCCUAUAUUUUAGGAAAUCAUAUCCUGGGAAAACAACUACCUUAUAUUUGGUUGCUUCUAUUUAACAUUCUACUCAACCCUUGCCAGCUACCACAAAACGACUACAUUAAUUUUUUUUUUCCUUUGUGGUGGGAAUUCAAGUGGAGAAUCGAGUAUUAAAAAAAUUAAUUUAACAAAUUUGAAGUUUCAUGGUCAAUCCUUUAAAAUGAAUUAACAAUUUUGUAUUAUUUCUAUUUUUAAACUAAUUAUUUUUUGGUAAUAAAUUUCGGAAGUUGUUUUUAAUAUUUUUUAAAAGGUGAACGCAUAAUUAUUUUAAAAGCGAUUUGGAUUUUUAAAUUUUAAAUAUUAAUUUAAAAAUUUCCUAUAUGGCAGAUAAUAAGUGUCUUAUAAAUUUGAGUAUUUUUUUUAAAACAUAUGGUGAUUUCUCGAGUCAAUAUGUUAAUAAUUCUAAGAGUAGUUUUUUCACCAUGAAUGAUUCUACCAGAUUUGUCACCAAAAUUCAGGGUAUUUUUUCUUGUAGUCAUGGUUGUUUGCCUUUCACUUAUUUAGGAGUGUCUAUCUUUGUUGGUGUCGUUUUUUUCAACCUUUUUGCUGAUAAAGUCAAAUUGAAGAUUGCUUCUUGAAAAGGUAAAUUUCUUACUAUGAUGGAUCAGAUUAAGUUGGUCAAUACAGUGAUUACGAGUCUUUUAGCUUAUAGUUUUAAUUUGUAUAAAUGACAUGUUUCUCUUCUUAAGCAAGUUGAGCAGUGGUGUCGAAAAUUUAUGUGGACUGACGAUAUUCUAAAAAAAGGUAUAACUACUGUUAAUUGAGCUACGAUUUGUUCUCCCCCUUGAGAAUGAAGGUUUGAAGAUUAUUAACCUUCACCAUGAAAAUAAUGUAUAUCUUCUUAAGGUUGUUUGGAUCUUUACUUAUAAAGACAUACCUUGGUCUUUGUUUUUGAAAGCCAGUUUAGAAUGAUUUUUGUUGUGGUGGAAGAAGACCAAGUCCUCGCCCACAAUAUAGAAAUUUGAGAAAUUAGAAUAUUAGCAUGCUCUUCGCAAAGGGAGAAAGAAGCAAAACGUGGUUUUAAAUAUGAAAGCAGCUGAUCGUAACUUAGUUUGAGGGCAGGCAAAAUGUCUUUUUCAUUUUGUUUCAUAUUCCAAAUCUCAUUAUCUCUCACAGACUCCCACUCAUUCUUAUCAACCCUCAAGAAAAGAGAACUGCCCACCGUUUUCAGUGCCAAUGGUAAGCCUCCACAUUUUUUUACAAUUUCUUUCCCAAUCUCCAAUAGUUCUGGAUGUUUUUUCUCAUUUCCAUCUUCAGAAGCAUAUUUCACGAAUAGAGAAAGAGAAUCCUCUUCAGAGAGACAUUGUAGAAGAUACGAAUUUGAGGAUUUAGUGUGCAUCAGGGUAGCUACUGCAUGGCUACGGGUAGUCACUAGGAUUUCACUCCCUUCAACACCUACAUCUAUUAUUUCCUUGAACUCAUGCCACCUUUCAGGAACCUCAUUCCACACAUCAUCCAACACGAGCAAGAACUUCUGAACUUGAAGUGUAUUACUCAAACGAUUUUGAAGUUGCUCCGUCUCGAAGUUAUUAAAGUUUUCCCUAUUAGAGUUUGGAGUAGAAUUGAGGAUUUUAAUGAGCAAAUUUCUAAGCUCAAAAUCAUUAGAGACACACACCCACAUCUUCAACGGAAAACAUGCAUCAGUGUUGGUGUCUUUGAAGAUCAACUUAGCAAGUGUGGUUUUUCCCAAACCUCCCACUUUUAUUUUUCAUUUUCAUUUUAAAAUUAAUAUCUUGAAGUUGGGCAUGUUUAUUAAUUAAUUGGACAUCUUUUAAAUUUAUAUUUAUAAAUUUUAUUCAAUUUAUAAGUAAAUAAAAUGUAAAAAAAUGCAUAAAAAUUGAAUUAUACAAAUUUUGGAAAUAUGAAAAAAAUAAUAAAAGAUCUUUAAAAGUAAAUUCUUAGACUAAAUUGGUUGUUCUGAAAUAAUUUAAAAUCUAAUUUUUCUAACCAGCUCGUUCAAAGAUAAUGGUAUAGAAAACAUCUAAAAAAGGACAUACAUUCUCUUUUUUAAUUGAUCUACUUGAAGUUGACACUACUAUUACAAAACAUUGACUUUACCGAUACUUUGUUUUGUAUUAAAAAAACCAUUGUUUUGAAAGUACAAAAGUGAAAAAAUUGUACAAAAUUAUUAGUACAUAUUUUGUAGGCAAUAAGAUAUUCCAUAGUUUCCUGCUAUAUUAUUCCCUUGUGAGGUGGAGAGAACGACGAAAAGGUAUAUAACCUGUGUAAAGAAGAAAACUCUUUCUUUUAAAAUUAAAAAAAAAAACUUGACAAAAACAAUAAUGCAAUAGAAAAGCCAAAAGGUUAAACUUAGUACCUUCAACAUGUUAUUGAGAGAAUUAUCCUUCAUCUAUAUCAACUUUUUUUAUGUGUGAUAUCUUGUGCCAAUCCUGUCCAACUUCUGGCUUUAAUCUUUUGCAUAAUUCAGGACAGUCACAGAUUCGUAAGUCUUCAAGAUUUGUGAGGUGAUGCAUGCUAUCAGGGAGUGACAAGAGAUUUGGACAAUUGACAAUUUCAAGUAUUUUGAGACAAAUUAGAGAUGGUAGCCACUCAGGAAGCUCCUCAAGAUUGAUGCAACCUUCAAUUAUCAAGGACUGUAAAGAAUCCACAGACCCUUGUAACCACUGAGGUAAAGUGACCAGUUGUGGCAAGACAUUCAAAAAAAAGAAUCUUUAACCUUGAAUUGGGGAUUUGGCUUCCACCACCCAUUGACAAUUCCAACUUGUCGCAAUUAGAGAUCAUUAAAACCUCUAAAUUGUUUAUGGCAUGGAAGGACACCAACUUUAGACUUGCACAUUCGUCCAAACACAAAGUUUUAAGUGUAGAAAGUUGUAUUCCUUCAAACAAUGACUCCAAAUUAUCACAAUUACUAAAAUAUAAAUGUUCUAAAGAAGUAAAAGUUGCAAUCACUUCUUUAGGAAAAUCAGGUAGUGUGGUGGUUAUAGCUAAGUGACGAAGGCUAAUUAGAUUUUUUAUUCCUUUGGGUAACGAUUGUAGCUUUAUGCAUCCACGGAGGAUCAAAGUUUGCAAAUUUUGAAGUUUGCAGACUGAAUCAGGGAGUUCCUUAAGUUUUUCAUUUUGUGCAAGAUUGAGGAAUCUUAGAUGUUUCAACUUUCCGAUGCAGCGAGGCAGACUCUCGUAUUCAGAAUAUUGUAAGUCUAAAAUCCUCAAAUAUUUGCACCUUGACACCAAUGUAUUCAAGAAAUCUUUAUUGUUCCCUCCGGUAUGAAAGAUCAUAGUUCUGAGACAUGUGGGAAGAUGAGCUUCACUAUAAAACUUCUCUUCCUCAAAAGCCAAAUGUUGGGUACUAUCAGAUAUUUUUGAAUUGCGGAGAUGUAUUCUUUCAAACUCGCCUUUCCCAAUAGACACUGAAAGAUCACUCACCAAAUCAUGCAAUCUAAAGCGACAUGCACCCCCGAAGUCAAUAUAAUCUGAAAGAAACGAUCUUGUCCACAGUUCAUGCAAAAAUUGACUCCCAACAUCAAUCGUUGAUUCACCUUCCUUUGGUGGGGGAAGAAAACCAAGUGCUCCCCAAAACAUAGAAACUUCAGAACUUAAGAUAUCAGCAUCCUGUUGGUAAAGGGAAAAAAAGCAAAACAUGGUUUUAAAUAUGAAGGAAGUUGAUCGUAACUUAGUUUGAGAGCAGGCAAAAUGCCAUUUUCAUUUUGUUUUAAAUUCCAAAUCUCAUUGUCUCUUAUGGACUCCCACUCUUUCUUAUCAACCCUCGAGAACAGUGAACUUCCCACCGUUUUCACUGCCAAUGGUAACCCUCCACAUUUUUUUACAAUUUCUUCUCCAAUCUCCAAUAGUUGUGGGUUUUUUUUCUCAUCUCCAUCUUCAAAAGCAGACUUCACAAAUAAAGAACGAGAAUCCUCUUCAGAUAGACAUUGUAGAAGGUACGAAUUUGAGGAUUUAGUGCGCAUCAUGGUAGCUAUUUCAUGACUCCGAGUAGUCACUAGGAUUUUACUCCCUUUAACUCAUCCCAUCUUACAUGAUCCUCAUUCCACACGUCAUCCAACACAAGCAAGAACUUCUGACCUUGAAGUGUAUUUCUCAAAUGAUUUUGAAGUUGCUCCGUCUCAAAGUUAUUGAAGCUUUCCCUAGUUGGAUUUGGAACAGAAUUGAUGAUUUUAAUGAGUACAUUCUUAAGUUCAAAACCAUUAGAGACACACACCCACAUCUUCAAGGGAAAACAUGCAUCAAUGUUAGUGUCAUUGAAGACCAACUUUGCAAGUGUGGUUUUUCCUAGGCCUCCCAUUCCCACAAUGGGAAUGACAGAAAGAGUUUGGUGAUGAACAUCUUGCACCAAAAGUUUGACUAUUUGAUUUUUGUCAUGUUCCCUUCCUGUAACAUUGGAAGGGUUUACAUGAGAAUGAGUCAUUUCCCUCACAUGCACCACACGUGUAUCUUGGUCAAUGAUUUGGAGGCCAAACAUGCUUCGUUGGGCUGCAAGUUUGGCCAACCUGGUGUUGAUAUCUUGAAUGCGAUGCGCCAUUCUAAGACGAUAAACAAGAGGAUUACUUGUUGAGAAGAAAUGGCGUACCUUCCUUGAGCAGUCGCCAUAGGUUUUGACAACGUGCUUUCGCAAGGCUUCGCACUCAAAGUCAUCAACUAUGUCUUCAGCAUCAGAAAAGACGCGCUUGACUUGUCUCAGCCAUUCGCUCAGUGCACUGCUCAGCGGAUUCUUUUGCUGAGCAUCUAAGAGCACACCUCUGAUGAGUGUCAUAGUUGUUUUCAUCUGUUGUAGCUCACUAUGCACACCAAGCGCCAAAGAAGCUUCUUUGACGGCACGAGAAGUGACCUUCCCUAUGAGUGAUUCUGCAAAGCUGAAAAGAAGUGAUUCCGCCAUGCUGUUGUUUUGGGAGAGAAGAAUGCAAAGGUAGAAAAGUUGUGUGGUGAAUGAUUUGACAUGAUUAGAUUAUGGUAUUUAUAAAACAAUGGUUAGUUUGGUAAAUUUUCCAUACAGACAAAACUCGUAUGCCGGCCUAGUACUCGAAUUUAUCAUAAAAUAAAUUGUAUUAGCUGGAGUUGGAUUAGUGUGUGAAUCUAUGCUUUUUUAUAAUAAGUUGAUUUUAGUGUAAUCAUGUUGCUGUCUAUAUUCUGACUAAUUCAAAUGUAUUAAACAACAACCACUACCACAAUCAUGUUGCUGUGUAUAUUAGUUGUUUAUAAGUUUUAUAUGCCAAGUUGUGAUAAAAAAAAUCUGUAAAUGAAAUAAAAAAAUGAAAAAUUUAGAUUGAAGUGUUUUGGUUACAUAUUAUUUUAUGGUAAGUGGAUCCUAUUUCUUCUAUUAGGUUACUUCUAUUUAACACCUUCUACUCAAUCCUUGCCGGCUACCAGAAAACGACUACAUUAGUUUUUUUUUCCCUUUGAGGUGGGAAUAAGUGGAGGAUAAAAAAAUUAAUUUAACAAAUUUGAAGUUUUAUGGUCAAUCCUUUAAAAUGUAUUAACAAAUUUGUAUUAUUACUAUUUUUAAACUAAUUAUUUUUAAGUAAUAAAUUUUGGAAGUUCUUUUUAAUAUAUUUUUUUAUUUAAAAAACGAAUAAAUAAUAGAGAUAUUUUAAGAAUAUUUCAACUCUUAUACAAGCAAGUCAUCCUAUGGUUCCAUGAAGCCUAUCAAAGACAAAAUUCUAAAUCAGAUAAAAGUAGUAGAAUAAUGGCAACCUAAGACUCCUUAUAUUCAAAAAUAAAAUCAACAGAAAAACUAUUCUAAACUAACUACAUAUAUCUAUCAACAUACCUUGCAAAUCAUAUAAAACCACCUUCUAAAGUUGUUUUUAUAGAUUUAAUGCAUAUCAGCUGCUUAAGGCACCGAUCAUUGUAUAAAAGGUGAACGCAUAAUUAUUUUAAAAGUGAUUUGGAUUUUUAAAAUUUAAAUAUUAAUUUAAAACUAAAAUUAAUAAGUUACUAAAUUAUUGUGAAUUAAAAAUUAAAUCAUGUUAAGAAUACUAAAAGACAUGCGUAUUUAUUAGAAAAUAUUAAAUUUAAAUUAAUUAAACAAAUAAUUAAAAUAAAUAGUAAAAAAUAUAAAUAACAUUAAACACAAAUAUUGUUGACUGUGGCUAUACUAAUAACUAAAAAUGACAUAAUCAUCACAAUUUUUUAUUUAAACAUUAUAUAUUACCAACUUGUAAGUCAUUGAUGCUUUAAGCUGCAAUUUUCAAAUUGAAAAAAGAUGUUGACUAAAUUUAAAACUUAUUCAAAUCCAAUAAAACUUAAUCACCUUCCACACUUUGCCCAAAAAAAAAGCUUAAAAUUGCCUUGUACUACACAAAUGCCUUGUAAAAGAGUUAUAAAUAACCUAAGUAGAAGGAGAGCAAAGUGAAUAAGGGAUAAAGUGAGAUGUGAUUUGUUGUAUUCAUUGAAAGUAUUUACUGUAUUCGUAAAGCAACACAACCAAUUUCAGAAAAUAUUUUAUCUAUAUUCGAUAGUAACACUUAAAUUUUUCUUUCUUUAUUGAAUCAUGUAUAUCAAAAAAGAUUUUAAUUAAAUGUGAUAGAAACACUUAGAAUUUUGUGUUGAUAUAUCAGUUUAAAAUAUGUAUAUUUUUUGGUAAAAGAGAUACUCGUAUUGAUUUAGUUUGGAUGAGAUGAAAGAACACGAACUAAAUGGGUCUGAGGUGAAAUCAAGCAAGAGUGGUGAAGAUCCU
RNAcentral lists this long non-coding RNA (21705 nucleotides) under Phaseolus vulgaris (common bean). RNAcentral's name for it is "long non-coding RNA (PVUL_LNC002430)". Lineage: Eukaryota; Viridiplantae; Streptophyta; Magnoliopsida; Fabales; Fabaceae. The record is from RNAcentral.